GGGGAAUCUUGGACAAUGGGCGCAAGCCUGAUCCAGCCAUGCCGCGUGAGUGAAGAAGGUCUUCGGAUUGUAAAGCUCUUUUGCCAGGGACGAUAAUGACGGUACCUGGAGAAUAAGCCCCGGCAAACUUCGUGCCAGCAGCCGCGGUAAUACGAAGGGGGCUAGCGUUGUUCGGAAUUACUGGGCGUAAAGCGCACGUAGGCGGGUCGUUAAGUCAGGGGUGAAAUCCCGGAGCUCAACUCCGGAACUGCCUUUGAUACUGGCGAUCUAGAGAUCGGAAGAGGUGAGUGGAAUUCCCAGUGUAGAGGUGAAAUUCGUAGAUAUUGGGAAGAACACCAGUGGCGAAGGCGGCUCACUGGUCCGAUACUGACGCUGAGGUGCGAAAGCGUGGGGAGCAAAC
This 400-nucleotide ribosomal RNA is filed under the name uncultured bacterium. RNAcentral describes it as "bacterial SSU rRNA". It matches the Rfam family "Bacterial small subunit ribosomal RNA", at positions 356 to 773 of the family's 1533-position model. The record is from RNAcentral.